GAUGAAGAACGUAGCAAAAUGCGAUAAGUAAUGUGAAUUGCAGAAUUCAGUGAAUCAUCGAAUCUUUGAACGCACAUUGCGCCCGCUGGUAUUCCGGCGGGCAUGCCUGUGCGAGCGUCAUUUCAACCCUCAAGCCCCCGGGUUUGGUGUUGGGGAUCGGCUCUGCCCUUCUGGGCGGUGCCGCCCCCGAAAUACAUUGGCGGUCUCGCUGCAGCCUCCAUUGCGUAGUAGCUAACACCUCGCAACUGGAACGCGGCGCGGCCAUGCCGUAAAACCCCAACUUCUGAAUGUUGACCUCGGAUCAGGUAGGAAUACCCGCUGAACUUAAGCAUAUCAAUAAGCGGAGGA
This 348-nucleotide unclassified non-coding RNA is filed under the name soil metagenome. RNAcentral's name for it is "partial contains 5.8S ribosomal RNA, internal transcribed spacer 2, and large subunit ribosomal RNA". The stretch from base 1 to 120 matches the Rfam family "5.8S ribosomal RNA", at positions 35 to 154 of the family's 154-position model. The record is from RNAcentral.